CCCAGACUCUGCUGUUCCUUGCCCUUCUGACAUAUUCUAGAAUGUUUAAUUUACCCUUCAUAUGGUGUUACUACACAUCUCUCAUCCCAGCUUUUCCUUACAGCCUAUUUAUUUAUUUUGCCAACACUCAAUACACCAAAACCACUACAGAUUGUUAUAAUGGUUAUGGUGCCAAAAGCUCUCUGGGGUCCACCAGUCUUCUCAACUGCCUUCGCCCAAGAGCCAGAAUUUUCUCAGCAGGAACUGGUUACUACUCCUGAACUAAGCCCAGCAUUGUUGGGCUUAGCGCACUGGCGGAGAGAGUUUGCUGUAGUGGUUAUGGCAGUUGGAUUGUUCUUUUACGACCAG
Non-coding RNA from Pelobates cultripes (western spadefoot toad), 348 nucleotides. NCBI's taxonomy places the organism in Eukaryota, Metazoa, Chordata, Amphibia, Anura, Pelobatidae. The record is from the annotation of a GenBank genome assembly.